GGGCGUUUGGUCUAGUGGUAUGAUUUUUGUUUUCGGUGCGAGAGGUCCCGAGUUUGUUUCUUGGAACGCCUC
This 72-nucleotide transfer RNA is filed under the name Ipomoea nil (Japanese morning glory). It matches the Rfam family "tRNA". From Rfam's summary of the family: Transfer RNA (tRNA) molecules are approximately 80 nucleotides in length. Their secondary structure includes four short double-helical elements and three loops (D, anti-codon, and T loops). Further hydrogen bonds mediate the characteristic L-shaped molecular structure. tRNAs have two regions of fundamental functional importance: the anti-codon, which is responsible for specific mRNA codon recognition, and the 3' end, to which the tRNAs corresponding amino acid is attached (by aminoacyl-tRNA synthetases). tRNAs cope with the degeneracy of the genetic code in two manners: having more than one tRNA (with a specific anti-codon) for a particular amino acid; and 'wobble' base-pairing, i.e. permitting non-standard base-pairing at the 3rd anti-codon position. Lineage: Eukaryota; Viridiplantae; Streptophyta; Magnoliopsida; Solanales; Convolvulaceae. The record is from Rfam by way of RNAcentral.